This 23-nucleotide unclassified non-coding RNA is filed under the name Mus musculus (house mouse). RNAcentral's name for it is "oocyte_clustered_small_RNA3724". The record is from RNAcentral. Lineage: Eukaryota; Metazoa; Chordata; Mammalia; Rodentia; Muridae.
UCCAUCCUGGGACCAGCCAACGC